RNA transcript from Vigna radiata var. radiata (mung bean), 2827 nucleotides. It is a transcript of the gene named putative FBD-associated F-box protein At5g56440, with no coding region annotated. NCBI's taxonomy places the organism in Eukaryota, Viridiplantae, Streptophyta, Magnoliopsida, Fabales, Fabaceae. The record is from RefSeq and is a predicted model, not a curated record. The transcript is spliced from 5 exons.
UAAAGCGAGAUUCUGGUGGUAGAAAACAAAAUAGGAAAGUAAAAGAAAACAGCAAUAUUAAGUAUGCAGUGCAAUAUGCCAAUUCUUAUUCACAAAACAACAAAACUAAACAAUAGCAGCUUCACACCCUUCUCUUCUUCCAAUUAACCCCACCACCAAGACCCAUGGUGGAAUCCUCCGAAUCACCGUCCAAGCGACGGUCGCCACCAGCCGCUGACGACAGAAUUAGUCAGCUUCCGGACGUGCUGCUUCUCCAAAUCCUCUCUCUUCUUCCAACCAAACAGGCAGUGGUCACUGGCAUUCUCGCCAAGCGGUGGCGGCCACUGUGGCCGGCCGUGUCGGUCCUCGACCUCGACGAUGAGUCCUCUCCGGAUUCCCGCCACGGUCCCGCGGGCUUCUCAGAGUUCGUGUACUCGGUGCUCCUAUUGCACGACGCGCCGGCAAUCCAGCGGUUCCGGCUCCGCUGUGCGAACCCGAACACCUCCGCGCGCGACAUCGCAACGUGGCUGUGUCAUGUGGCGCGGCGGAGGGUGGAGCGCGUGGAGCUCUCGCUGUCGCUGUCGUGCUACGUGGCGCUCCCGCGGCGCCUCUUCAACUGCGACACGGUUUCAUCCAUGAAGCUCAACGGCGUGUUCUUCAACGCGCUCGCCUCGUUCUCCGUGCGCUUGCCUCUGCUGAGGGCUUUGCACGUGGGGGACAGGGUUCUGUUCGGGUGCCACGAUUACGUGGUGAAGCUUCUUGCUGGGUGCCCCGCGCUGGAGGACUUGGUGCUGGAAUCCACCUACAGCGAUGCUUGCGGAGGUGUCGUUUGUGCCGAGGGCAAUUUCGAGCUUAGUUUGAAACACUUGACGCAUGCGAAAAUUGGGUUUUCGUGGAAGGAGAGGUGCCUCAAGUCCAUGCUUCUCAUUUUCCAAGCGCUUUCUCACGUUAGGUGCCUCUCGCUUUCUCCCUGUACAGUUGCGUGUUUGAAGCAUGCUUCUGCCAUUGAUAUUCCAGUGUUUGACAAAUUAACCCAGCUGGAAAUUUCAUUUGGAAGCUAUUCAUGGGAUUUGUUAGCAAACUUGCUUCAACGUUCCCACAAGCUGGAAGUUCUUAUCAUUAACAAGGAAUCACAAAAAUAUGGGAAGGGACAAGAGUCAAGGUGGAGCCAUCCACUCCUCGUUCCUGAAUGCCUUUUACAUCUCAAAACGUUUUGCCUCAGAGAAUAUCAAGGAUUGGAAACUGAGCUGGAUUUUGUAGGGUAUAUUAUGCAAAAUGCUAGAGUGUUAGAGACAAUGACUAUCUACUUAUCGAGCUCCUUAAGUUCCGAGGAAAAACUCCAAAUCCGCAGGCAUUUAUCUAUACUUCAAAGGAACUUUGAAACCUGUCAAAUUGUAUUCAAUUGAAUCAUAUUCUUGAAAGGUUUGGGAGGACCAUCACAUUGAGAUGCUAAUGUAGAGGAAUCAUCAACAAAACCAGGUAUAUUAUUGAUGGGUUUACUUUGUAAACAAGUAGAAGCCAAAGUGGACACAACAGGUGAACCCAAAAACUGAUCAUGGGCAUGAGAAUAUUUAUCAGCAAGUAUGUGGAAUGCCAAUACCAUGAAGAACUUUAGUCGUUGCUCUAUUUCUUGGGAAGGAAGAGGUAGGAGACAAUAACUCAUUAAAUUCAUGAAAAAGAGCAUGAAUUUUACCCAUAUAAUCAAUCAUAGAGUCUUGAUCCCGAGGAGCAACAACAUUGAAAAGAUCGUGAUAAACACCAUAAAUAUAUUGAGUAUCAUUAGUGUAUAAUAAUUUGGCCAAUUCCCAAACUUCAGAAUAUGUAUCAUAGGAACGAAAAAAUUGUUUUAAAGAAGUAAAGGAUACCUUUGAGAAUGAUGCAUAAUUGAGCAUCAAUUUUCAUCCAUCAGGAAUAUCAAUAAUUUUAUGAGUAAUAUGAUCAACAUACCUCUGCCUUGUAAGUCAAAGUUUAAUAUCUGAUGUCCCAGUCGCAUAAUUAGUGUCUUUUAACUUAUUAAUAAACAAGUGAACAUUGACAUAGUAUAUAUGAAUGGGUCAAUCGCAUUGGUGACAGAAUAGAGAUGAGAAAAGAUAACUGUAAAAGAAGUCAUAGAUGAAUAUGAGAGAGAGAAACCCAAAAAAUUCAAGUUUCUUCAAUCAAGGCAACAAGACUAGAUCUGAAAGAAGAGAAAGAGCUGAUCUCGGCACUGGGGUCUCUGUCAGAGAAGAGUACGAAUGCGCCGCCACACGGUUGGAAACGGCAAAAGUGCAUGACUUCGGGAGGCGUGUGAUAGCACGGUAGUCACCUGGUCGAGACUAUCUAAAUUGUGUGUAGUCUCAGGUCUGAACUAGAACUCUGGUGACGUUGGCGGUUGCGGCGGUGGAAGUGGUAGAGAACAGGAAAGUUCCAGCAGUUUCAAGCCCAGCAAUUUGUAAUCAUCGAAGUAUGCCGUAGUCUGUUUUGAUUGGAGAGCAUUUUUGUUUUAGGGUCUUUCAUUUUGUUGUUAGUAAUGCUUUACAGUGUAUUAGUAUCUUUCUCUUGUUAUUGUGAAUACUUCUAAUUUGUCUGAUAUGAUCGAAACCUGACUGAGGCUCGUUAUCAGCUGUAACAUGAAUACCUGUCCCACCUGGGGAAUUCAUCCUGACAUGUUGCUUUGAAGGAAAAGUCUAUAACUGACAUUUUUAUUUUGUAUACUUCAAAGUUCGGAGCAGCUUUCUCUCGAGAAAUUGUGACCGCUCUGCAUGAUCUUGUAUAACGUCUACAACAACAUUUGUAAGCUGUUUUGUGCUGUUUAGUUUCUGACAUUUAUUUAAUAUAGUAAUGGCAAUGAAUAUACUGAAUUUUCUUA